CUAAAGUUUUCUUUAUAUUUUUCGCAAUCUUCAAAAGUUUCCACAGGACACGUCUUUCACUUGUUCAAGCUCAAAUUUCCUGUGGUUACUUCUUGAGUGCUCCUAAGUAAAAGAAAAAUAUCAAAAAAAAAUAAAAAGAAUUGCAGGUUUCGAACCGUGUUGUUCGCAAGCUGGAUUGAUUUGUCUCUUUUCCACCAAAUCGAUAGUUGCCAGAAACUUUCGGAAGAUCGGGCCACACUUAUUCUCCUCAAGUGGUAAUCAAAGCUUCAAACAUAACGUUAGGUUCACAUCUACCCUUAGUUUCGAGUGUCCUUGUGUUCGUCCAAUAAGUCUGGUGCCAUAUUAUUUUCAUGUCCUACAACCCAUCCGCGCGAUAGCCUUUGCAUAUUUCAGUUUCAGAGUCCGUAGUGUUGAGUUUGUGUCCUGGUCGAGGUCUUGUUACUGGUUAGGUCUUGUUAGAGUCCAAUUUGUGUGUUUCUUCCCACCGUUUCCAUCAAUUUAUAGCCACCGCCGCAAAUUUUCCCACUUCUGGACUAUUUUGUCCUCUAAUUCGGAGUCCGUUCUUAAAACAGCCAUAACUUUCGCAUACGAACUCCGAUUUUGACGUUGCAUAUAUCAAAAUCGAUCAGAAAAUUUUUUUGGGUCUGUCUAUGCCCGCCAAAGGCGGGUUCGACAAAUUUAGAAUCCCCAAAUUCGCCUCUGAAGUUUGAGUUUUCACCUCCUAAAGUUUUCUUUAUAUUUUUCGCAAUCUUCAAAACUUUCCACAGGCCACGUCUUUCGCUUGUUCAAGCUCAAAUUUCCUGUGGUUACUUCUUGUGUGCUCCUAAGUAAAAGAAAAAUAUCAAAGAAAAAUAAAAAGAACUGCAGGUUUCGAACCGUGUUGUUCGCAAGCUGGAUUGAUUUGUGUCUCUUUUCAACCAAAUCGAUAGUUGCCAGAAACUUUCGGAAGAUCGGGCCACACUUAUUCUCCCCAAGUGGUAAUCAAAGCUUCAGACAUAACGUUAGGUUCACAUCUACCCUUAGUUUCGAGUGUCGUUGUGUUUGUCCCAUAAGUCUGGUGCCAUAUUGUUUUCAUGUCCUACAACCCAUCCGCGCCAUAGCCUUUGCAUAUUUCAGUUUCAGAGUCCGUAGUGUUGAGUUUGUGUCCUGGUCGAGGUCUUGUUACUCGUUAGGUCUUGUUAGAGUCCAAUUUGUGUGUUUCUUCCCACCGUUUCCAUCAAUUUAUAGCCACCGCCGCAAAUUUUCCCACUUCUGGACUGUUUUGUCCUCUAAUUCGGAGUCCGUUCUUAAAACAGCCAUAACUUUCGCAUACGAACUCCGAUUUUGACGUUCCAUAUAUCAAAAUCGAUCAGAAAAAAUUUUUUGGGUCUGUCUAUGCCCGCCAAAGGCGGGUUCGACAAAUUUAGAAUCCCCAAAUUCGCCUCUGAAGUUUGAGUUUUCACCUCCUAAAGUUUUCUUUAUAUUUUUCGCAAUCUUCAAAAGUUUCCACAGGACACGUCUUUCACUUGUUCAAGCUCAAAUUUCCUGUGGUUACUUCUUGAGUGCUCCUAAGUAAAAGAAAAAUAUCAAAAAAAUAAAAUAAAAAGAAUUGCAGGUUUCGAACCGUGUUGUUCGCAAGCUGGAUUGAUUUGUCUCUUUUCCACCAAAUCGAUAGUUGCCAGAAACUUUUGGAAGAUCGAGCCACACUUAUUCUCCUCAAGUGGUAAUCAAAGCUUCAGACAUAACGUUAGGUUCACAUCUACUAUUAGUUUCGAGUGUCCUUGUGUUCGUCCCAUAAGUCUGGUGCCAUAUUGUUUUCAUGUCCUACAACCCAUCCGCGCCAUAGCCUUUGCAUAUUUCAGUUUCAGAGUCCGUAGUGUUGAGUUUGUGUCCUGGUCGAGGUCUUGUUACUGGUUAGGUCUUGUUAGAGUCCAAUUUGUGUGUUUCUUCCCACCGUUUCCAUCAAUUUGUAGCCACCGCCGCAAAUUUUCCCACUUCUGGACUGUUUUGUCCUCUAAUUCGGAGUCCGUUCGUAAAACAGCCAUAACUUUCGCAUACGAACUCCGAUUUUGACGUUCCAUAUAUCAAAAUCGAUCAGAAAAUUUUUUUGGGUCUGUCUAUGCCCGCUAAGCGGGUUCGACAAAUUUAGAACCCCCAAAUUCGCCUCUGAAGUUGGAGUUUUCACCUCCUAAAGUUUUCUUUAUAUUUUUCGCAAUCUUCAAAACUUUCCACAGGCCACGUCUUUCACUUGUUCAAGCUCAAAUUUCCUGUGGUUACUUCUUGUGUGCUCCUAAGUAAAAGAAAAAUAUCAAAGAAAAAUAAAAAUAACUGCAGGUUUCGAACAGUGUUGUUCGCAAGCUGGAUUGAUUUGUGUCUCUUUUCCAGCAAAUCGAUAGUUGCCAGAAACUUUCGGAAGAUCGGGCCACACUUAUUCUCCUCAAGUGGUAAUCAAAGCUUCAGACAUAACGUUAGGUUCACAUCUACCCUUAGUAUCGAGUGUCCUUGUGUUCGUCCCAUAAGUCUGGUGCCAUAUUGUUUUCAUGUCCUACAACCCAUCCGCGCCAUAGCCUUUGCAUAUUUCAGUUUCAGAGUCCGUAGUGUUGAGUUUGUGUCCUGGUCGAGGUCUUGUUACUGGUUAGGUCUUGUUAGAGUCCAAUUUGUGUGUUUCUUCCCACCGUUUCCAUCAAUUUAUAGCCACCGCCACAAAUUUUCCCACUUCUGGACUGUUUUGUCCUCUAAUUCGGAGUCCGUUCGUAAAACAGCCAUAACUUUCGCAUACGAACUCCGAUUUUGGCGUUCUAUAUAUCAAAAUCGAUCAGAAAAUUUUUCUGGGUCUGUCUAUGCCCGCUAGCGGGUUCGUCAAAUUUAGAAUCCCCAAAUUCGCCUGUGAAGUUUGAGUUUUCACCUCCUAAAGUUUUCUUUAUAUUUUUCGCAAUCUUCAAAACUUUCCACAGGCCACGUCUUUCACUUGUUCAAGCUCAAAUUUCCUGUGGUUACUUCUUGUGUGCUCCUAAGUAAAAGAAAAAUAUCAAAGAAAAAUAAAAAGAACUGCAGGUUUCGAACCGUGUUGUUCGCAAGCUGGAUUGAUUUGUGUCUCUUUUCCACCAAAUCGAUAGUUGCCAGAAACUUUCGGAAGAUCGGGCCACACUUAUUCUGCUCAAGUGGUAAUCAAAGCUUUAGACAUAACGUUAGGUUCACAUCUACCCUUAGUUUCGAGUGUCCUUGUGUUCAUCCCAUAAGUCUGGUGCCAUAUUGUUUUCAUGUCCUACAACCCAUCCGCGCCAUAGCCUUUGCAUAUUUCAGUUUCCGAGUUCAUAGUGUUGAGUUUGUGUCCUGGUCGAGAUCUUGUUACUGGUUAGGUCUUGUUAGAGUCCAAUUUGUGUGUUUCUUCCCACCGUUUCCAUCAAUUUAUAGCCACCGCCGCAAGUUUUCCCACUUCUGGACUGUUUUGUUCUCUAAUUCGGAGUCCGUUCAUAAAACAGCCAUAACUUUCGCAUACGAACUCCGAUUUUGACGUUGCAUAUAUCAAAAUCGAUCAGAAAUUUUUUUGGGGUCUGUCUAUGCCCGCUUUGCGGGUUCGACAAAUUUAGAAUCCCCAAAUUCGCCUCUGAAGUUGGAGUUUUCACCUCCUAAUGUUUUCUUUAUAUUUUUCACAAUCUUCAAAACUUUCCACAGGCCACGUCUUUCACUUGUUCAAGCUCAAAUUUCCUGUGGUUACUUCUUGUGUGCUCCUAAGUAAAAGAAAAAUAUCAAAAAAAAAUAAAAAGAAUUGCAGGUUUCGAACCGUGUUGUUCGCAAGCUGGAUUGAUUUGUGUCUUUUUUCCACCAAAUCGAUAGUUGCCAGAAACUUUCGGAAGAUCGGGCCACACUUAUUCUCCUCAAGUGGUAAUCAAAGCUUCAGACAUAACGUUAGGUUCACAUCUACCCUUAGUUUCGAGUGUCCUUGUGUUCGUCCCAUAAGUCUGGUGCCAUAUUGUUUUCAUGUCCUACAACCCGUCCGCGCCAUAGCCUUUGCAUAUUUCAGUUUCCGAGUUCAUAGUGUUGAGUUUGUGUCCUGGUCGAGAUCUUGUUACUGGUUAGGUCUUGUUAGAGUCCAAUUUGUGUGUUUCUUCCCACCGUUUCCAUCAAUUUAUAGCCACCGCCGCAAAUUUUCCCACUUCUGGACUGUUUUGUUCUCUAAUUCGGAGUCCGUUCGUAAAACAGCCAUAACUUUCGCAUACGAACUCCGAUUUUGACGUUGCAUAUAUCAAAAUCGAUCAGAAAUUUUUUUUGGGUCUGUCUAUGCCCGCUUUGCGGGUUCGACAAAUUUAGAAUCCCCAAAUUCGCCUCUGAUGUUGGAGUUUUCACCUCCUAAUGUUUUCUUUAUAUUUUUCGCAAUCUUCAAAACUUUCCACAGGCCACGUCUUUCACUUGUUCAAGCUCAAAUUUCCUGUGGUUACUUCUUGUGUGCUCCUAAGUAAAAGAAAAAUAUCAAAGAAAAAUAAAAAGAACUGCAGGUUUCGAACCGUGUUGUUCGCAAGGUGGAUUGAUUUGUGACUCUUUUCCACCAAAUCGAUAGUUGCCAGAAACUUUCGGAAGAUCGGGCCACACUUAUUCUCCUCAAGUGGUAAUCAAAGCUUUAGACAUAACGUUAGGUUCACAUCUACCCUUAGUUUCGAGUGUCCUUGUGUUCGUCCCAUAAGUCUGGUGCCAUAUUGUUUUCAUGUCCUACAACCCAUCCGCGCCAUAGCCUUUGCAUAUUUCAGUUUCAGAGUCCGUAGUGUUGAGUUUGUGUCCUGGUCGAGGUCUUGUUACUGGUUAGGUCUUGUUAGAGUCCAAUUUGUGUGUUUCUUCCCACCGUUUCCAUCAAUUUAUAGCCACCGCCGCAAAUUUUCCCACUUCUGGACUGUUUUGUCCUCUAAUUCGGAGUCCGUUCGUAAAACAGCCAUAACUUUCGCAUACGAACUCCGAUUUUGACGUUCCAUAUAUCAAAAUCGAUCAGAAAAUUUUUUUUGGGUCUGUCUAUGCCCGCCAUAGGCAGGUUCGACAAAUUAGGAUCCCCAAAUUCGCCUCUGAAGUUUGAGUUUUCACCUCCUAAAGUUUUCUUUAUAUUUUUCGCAAUCUUCAAAACUUUCCACAGGCCACGUCUUUCACUUGUUCAAGCUCAAAUUUCCUGUGGUUACUUCUUGAGUGCUCCUAAGUAAAAGAAAAAUAUCAAAAAAAAAAUAAAAAGAAUUGCAGGUUUGGAACCGUGUUGUUCGCAAGCUGGAUUGAUUUGUCUCUUUUCCACCAAAUCGAUAGUUGCCAGAAACUUUCGGAAGAUCGGGCCACACUUAUUCUCCUCAAGUGGUAAUCAAAGCUUCAGACAUAACGUCAGGUUCACAUCUACCCUUAGUUUCGAGUGUCCUUGUGUUCGUCCCAUAAGUCUGGUGCCAUAUUAUUUUCAUGUCCUACAACCCAUCCGCGCCAUAGCCUUUGCAUAUUUCUGUUUCCGAGUCCAUAGUGUUGAGUUUGUGUCCUGGUCGAGGUCUUGUUACUGGUUAGGUCUUGUUAGAGUCCAAUUUGUGUGUUUCUUCCCACCGUUUCCAUCAAUUUAUAGCCACCGCCGCAAAUUUUCCCACUUCUGGACUGUUUUGUCCUCUAAUUCGGAGUCCGUUCUUAAAACAGCCAUAACUUUCGCAUACGAACUCCGAUUUUGGCGUUCUAUAUAUCAAAAUCGAUCAGAAAAUUUUUCUGGGUCUGUCUAUGCCCGCUAGCGGGUUCGACAAAUUUAGAAUCCCCAAAUUCGCCUCUGAAGUUUGAGUUUUCACCUCCUAAAGUUUUCUUUAUAUUUUUCGCAAUCUUCAAAACUUUCCACAGGCCACGUCUUUCACUUGUUCAAGCUCAAAUUUCCUGUGGUUACUUCUUGUGUGCUCCUAAGUAAAAGAAAAAUAUCAAAGAAAAAUAAAAAGAACUGCAGGUUUCGAACCGUGUUGUUCGCAAGCUGGAUUGAUUUGUGUCUCUUUUCCACCAAAUCGAUAGUUGCCAGAAACUUUCGGAAGAUCGGGCCACACUUAUUCUGCUCAAGUGGUAAUCAAAGCUUUAGACAUAACGUUAGGUUCACAUCUACCCUUAGUUUCGAGUGUCCUUGUGUUCAUCCCAUAAGUCUGGUGCCAUAUUGUUUUCAUGUCCUACAACCCAUCCGCGCCAUAGCCUUUGCAUAUUUCAGUUUCCGAGUUCAUAGUGUUGAGUUUGUGUCCUGGUCGAGAUCUUGUUACUGGUUAGGUCUUGUUAGAGUCCAAUUUGUGUGUUUCUUCCCACCGUUUCCAUCAAUUUAUAGCCACCGCCACAAAUUUUCCCACUUCUGGACUGUUUUGUCCUCUAAUUCGGAGUCCGUUCGUAAAACAGCCAUAACUUUCGCAUACGAACUCCGAUUUUGACGUUGCAUAUAUCAAAAUCGAUCAAAAAUUUUUUUUGGGUCUGUCUAUGCCCGCUUUGCGGGUUCGACAAAUUUAGAAUCCCCAAAUUCGCCUCUGAAGUUGGAGUUUUCACCUCCUAAAGUUUUCUUUAUAUUUUUCGCAAUCUUCAAAACUUUCCACAGGCCACGUCUUUCACUUGUUCAAGCUCAAAUUUCCUGUGGUUACUUCUUGUGUGCUCCUAAGUAAAAGAAAAAUAUCAAAGAAAAAUAAAAAGAACUGCAGGUUUCGAACCGUGUUGUUCGCAAGGUGGAUUGAUUUGUGUCUCUUUUCCACCAAAUCGAUAGUUGCCAGAAACUUUCGGAAGAUCGGGCCACACUUUUUCUCCUCAAGUGGUAAUCAAAGCUUCAGACAUAACGUUAGGUUCACAUCUACCCUUAGUUUCGAGUGUCCUUGUGUUCGUCCCAUAAGUCUGGUGCCAUAUUGUUUUCAUGUCCUACAACCCAUCCGCGCCAUAGCCUUUGCAUAUUUCAGUUUCAGAGUCCGUAGUGUUGAGUUUGUGUCCUGGUCGAGGUCUUGUUACUGGUUAGGUCUUGUUAGAGUCCAAUUUGUGUGUUUCUUCCCACCGUUUCCAUCAAUUUAUAGCCACCGCCGCAAAUUUUCCCACUUCUGGACUGUUUUGUCCUCUAAUUCGGAGUCCGUUCGUAAAACAGCCAUAACUUUCGCAUACGAACUCCGAUUUUGACGUUCCAUAUAUCAAAAUCGAUCAGAAAUUUUUUUUUGGGUCUGUCUAUGCCCGCCACUGGCGGGUUCGACAAAUUAGGAUCCCCAAAUUCGCCUCUGAGGUUUGAGUUUUCACCUCCUAAAGUUUUCUUUAUAUUUUUCGCAAUCUUCAAAACUUUCCACAGGCCACGUCUUUCACUUGUUCAAGCUCAAAUUUCCUGUGGUUACUUCUUGAGUGCUCCCAAGUUAAAGAAAAAUAUCACAAAAAAUAAAAAGAAUUGCAGGUUUCGAACCGUGUUGUUCGCAAGCUUGAUUGAUUUUUGUCUUUUUUCCACCAAAUCAAUAGUUGCCAGAAACUUUCGGAAGAUCGGGCCACACUUAUUCUCCUCAAGUGGUAAUCAAAGCUUCAGACAUAACGUUAGGUUCACAUCUACCCUUAGUUUCGAGUGUCCUUGUGUUCGUCCCAUAAGUCUGGUGCCAUAUUGUUUUCAUGUCCUACAACCCAUCCGCGCCAUAGCCUUUGCAUAUUUCAGUUUCCGAGUUCAUAGUGUUGAGUUUGUGUCCUGGUCGAGAUCUUGUUACUGGUUAGGUCUUGUUAGAGUCCAAUUUGUGUGUUUCUUCCCACCGUUUCCAUCAAUUUAUAGCCACCGCCGCAAAUUUUCCCACUUCUGGACUGUUUUGUCCUCUAAUUCGGAGUCCGUUCGUAAAACAGCCAUAACUUUCGCAUACGAACUCCGAUUUUGACGUUGCAUAUAUCAAAAUCGAUCAGAAAUUUUUUUUGGGUCUGUCUAUGCCCGCUUUGCGGGUUCGACAAAUUUAGAAUCCCCAAAUUCGCCUCUGAAGUUGGAGUUUUCACCUCCUACAGUUUUCUUUAUAUUUUUCGCAAUCUUCAAAACUUUGCACAGGCCACGUCUUUCACUUGUUCAAGCUCAAAUUUCCUGUGGUUACUUCUUGUGUGCUCCUAAGUAAAAGAAAAAUAUCAAAGAAAAAUAAAAAGAACUGCAGGUUUCGAACUGUGUUGUUCGCAAGCUGGAUUGAUUUGUGUCUCUUUUCCACCAAAUCGAUAGUUGCCAGAAACUUUCGGAAGAUCGGGCCACACUUAUUCUCCUCAAGUGGUAAUCAAAGCUUCAGACAUAACGUUAGGUUAACAUCUACCCUUAGUUUCGAGUGUCCUUGUGUUCGUUCCAUAAGUCUGGUGCUAUAUUGUUUUCAUGUCCUACAACCCAUCCGCGCCAUAGCCUUUGCAUAUUUCAGUUUCAGAGUCCGUAGUGUUGAGUUUGCGUCC
This 8361-nucleotide long non-coding RNA is filed under the name Sorghum bicolor (sorghum). Its description in RNAcentral is "long non-coding RNA (SBIC_LNC010488)". Lineage: Eukaryota; Viridiplantae; Streptophyta; Magnoliopsida; Poales; Poaceae. The record is from RNAcentral.